CGCAUGCCGCGGACGCGAAGCCGGGUGAGCUAUCCAUGGGCAGGGUGAAGCGGGGGUAAGACCCCGUGGAGGCCCGAACCCACUUCGGUUGAAAACGGAGGGGAUGACCCGUGGAUAGGGGUGAAAGGCCUAUCAAACCCGGAGAUAUCUCGUUCUCCCCGAAACAGCUUUAGGGCUGGCCCCGGGCAUUGACCAUCGGAGGUAGAGCACUGGACCGGCGAGGGGGCCUCACCGCCUACCGACCCAGACCAAACUCCGAAUGCCGAUGGUUUUAACCCCGGGAGUCAGAGCGCGUGGGCUAAGCUGCGCGCUCGAGAGGGAAACAGCCCAGACCGCCCGCCAAGGCCCCAAAGGCCGUGCUAAGUGGCAAAGGAUGUGCGCCCGCCCAGACAACCAGGAUGUUGGCUUAGAAGCAGCCAUGCAUUCAAAGAGUGCGUAACAGCUCACUGGUCGAGUGGGGGCGCGCCGACAAUGCGCGGGGCUCAAGCACGGCGCCGAAGCGGCGGAAUCGAUCAAUUCGAUUGGUAGGGGAGCUUUCCAUGCCGGGCGAAGCCGGAGGCGCGAGCCCCGGUGGACGGCAUGGAAGUGAGGAUGCAGGCAUGAGUAGCGAGAGAGCGGCGAGAAACCGCUCCGCCGAAAACCCAAGGUUUCCUGGGCGAGGCUAAUCCCCCCAGGGUCAGCCGGGAGCUAAGGCGAGGCCGCAAGGCGCAGCCGAUGCACGACGGGCCGACAUUCCCGUGCCGGCGCGGGCGCGCUACGACCGAUGGGACGACGGGGAAGGAUACGCGAGCGGGGUUCUGGACGUCCCCGUGAAAGCAUGUAGGGAGGGGCCCAGGGAAAUCCGGUCCCCACAUAUCCCGAGACGCGAGACGAGCCCCAUGGCGAAGUCGCGGAUUCCAAGCCUCCUAGAAAAAUCCCUAGGCAGCGCCCACGCCGCCCGUACCAAAACCGACACAGGUGGGUAGGAAGAGCAUUCCGAGGCGAUCGGGGCAACCAUGGUCAAGGAACUCGGCAUAAUCGUCCCGUAACUUAGGGAGAAGGGACGCCCCCCAGCGUGAACCGGCUCGCCCGGGCAGCGCCGGGGGGCCGCAGCGAAAGGGCCCAAGCGACUGUUUACCAAAAACACAGGACUCUGCCAAGCCGCGAGGCGAAGUAUAGGGUCUGACGCCUGCCCGGUGCCGGAAGGUCACGGGGAUCCGUUAGAGCAAUCGAAGCGGUGAACCCAAGCCCCGGUAAACGGCGGCCGUAACUAUAACGGUCCUAAGGUAGCGAAAUUCCUUGUCGGGUAAGUUCCGACCUGCACGAACGGCGCAACGACUUGGGCGCUGUCUCGACCAUGGGCCCGGCGAAAUUGCAUUAUCCGUGAAGAUGCGGAUUCCCCGCGGAAGGACGGAAAGACCCCGUGAACCUUUACUGCAGCUUGGCAUUGGCCGCAGGCGCGGCGCGUAGAGGAUAGGCAGGAGGCUGCGAAGCCCGGGCGCCAGCCCGGGCGGAGCCGACCUUGGAAUACUGCCCCCGUCGCGUCGGCGGCCUAACCCGGGGACGGCCCGGGGACCGUGCCAGGCGGGCAGUUUGACUGGGGCGGUCGCCUCCCAAAGAGUAACGGAGGCGCGCGCAAGGUCCGCUCAGGACGGUCGGCAACCGUCCGAAGAGCGCAAGAGCACAAGCGGGCCUGACUGCGAGGCAGACAAGCCGAGCAGGGACGAAAGUCGGCUCUAGUGAUCCGGCGGCCCCGAGUGGAAGGGCCGUCGCUCAACGGAUAAAAGGUACUCCGGGGAUAACAGGCUGAUCUUGCCCAAGAGUCCACAUCGACGGCAAGGUUUGGCACCUCGAUGUCGGCUCAUCGCAUCCUGGGGCUGGAGUCGGUCCCAAGGGUACGGCUGUUCGCCGUUUAAAGCGGUACGCGAGCUGGGUUCAGAACGUCGUGAGACAGUUCGGUCCCUAUCCUCCGCGGGCGCAGGAGAAUUGAGGAGGGCUGCCCCUAGUACGAGAGGACCGGGGCGGACGGGCCUCUGGUGUCCCGGUUGUCGACCAACGGCACGGCCGGCUAGCCACGCCCGGAACGGAUAACCGCUGAAGGCAUCUAAGCGGGAAGCCGUCUCCGAGAUGAGUUCUCCCUUCGGUAAG
Molecule: ribosomal RNA, 2127 nt
Filed under: Slackia isoflavoniconvertens
Lineage: Bacteria; Bacillati; Actinomycetota; Coriobacteriia; Eggerthellales; Eggerthellaceae
Description: bacterial LSU rRNA
Rfam family: Bacterial large subunit ribosomal RNA
Source: RNAcentral